This 1995-nucleotide long non-coding RNA is filed under the name Homo sapiens (human). RNAcentral describes it as "HSALNT0332857". Lineage: Eukaryota; Metazoa; Chordata; Mammalia; Primates; Hominidae. The record is from RNAcentral.
CCCUAGUAGUCGGUGGCUGGUCGGUGACUGGGACCAGACCGUCGCCUCCUCCCUUUUACAGCUUUAAGUCUGUGACCCGAGGCCUCUCUGUAUAUUCCCGUGGGGUUGGGCCUAGUUGUCCUGGGAGAAACUAGAUGGAUGAGGAGUAUUUCCGAGACAGGUCCCAGGGCCAGCGCAGCCUUUUCUGUUGCAGAACCGCGACUGUUGUUUUGGGAUCCAGGCCGGAGGGUUUGUUGCUUGUGUUCAUUCCAGUUAACCAUUAGUACUCGAGAAGGUGGUACAGAACGCAUCUAUCCCCUUAGAAGAAAAGAAAUUAAAAGCCAAACUAAACUGGGAUAUAUAUUAAUAUAGGAAACUACCACUGAGACAUAGGAAAGUGUAUUAAAAUAUAACUAGUGAGGUGCUAUGUAUAAUUCAGAGGAAGGGGAAAUUAUGCAUGGGCCAGACUACUAACAAAAGGCUCCAAAGCCUGGGAUACGCUGAGGGCCUUUCCAUAACAGAAAAUGAAAAGGAACCUAAAUUUGAGACUAGAUUUGAGGAAAGGCACAGUUGCGCUGGAGUAGAAAGCGUCUGUCUACCGCAGUGGAAACGAUAUGUUAUUGUAUCCCCAGCACCAUACAAAGGACAUACAAGGGCCAAAUACUGUGGGAAUAUUUAUUAAUGAUAUUAAUGAUGAUGCUGUCCGGGCCAAAGGAAAACUUCCGCUUCACCUUCUGAAGUUUCGCUGAAAGUCACUGACAGGAGGCAGUUAAUAGGAGAAAAGACAUAGACAUUGAUUUGACCAUCGUUUUAUGUGACACGGGAGCCUUCAGAAUGAAGACCCAAAGAUAACAAGGGAAAUCGUGUAUUUGUAUGCUUAGGUUCAACAAAGCAUGGACAGCCGUAUAAAAAAAUGACUGGACAAGGCCGGGCGCGGUGGCUCACGCCUGUAAUCUCAGCACUUUGGGAGGCUGAGGCGGGCGGAUCACAAGGUCAGGAGAUCGAGACCAUCCUGGCUAACACAGUGAAACCCCGUCUCUACUAAAAAUACUAAAAAUUAGCCAGGCGUGGUGGCGGGCGCCUGUAGUCCCAGCUACUCAGGAGGCUGAGGCAGGAGAAUGGCGUGAACCCGGGAGGCGGAGCUUGCAGUGAGCCGAGAUUGCGUCACCGCACUCCAGCCUGGGCGACAGAGCGAGACUCCGUCUCAAAAAAAAUGACUGGACAAAAAACACUCUGAUGCAAACAGGCAAGAAACCCAGCAAGGCCUAUCUGGAUUCUCCUUGGCCUGUCUGCAGCAUUCAUUCCUUCUGGGUAUGGAACAGGACCCUCUGGAAUGGGGGCUGUGGCCUACAACAGUUAAACAAGUGAACUAAAGGGCUCCCAAAAUCUCUCCUGCAGCAUUUUCCUUGAGAAGGAGGAAGGUUUGCAUCUCUAAAUCUCUCUCUGGGAACAGUGUGGAAGAUGGAUUGAAAUGGUGUAAAAUUGAAGAUGUGGACUCCGGUUGGGAGACUACACCCUAGAUAAGAUGAAGAGAACUUGAAGCAAGACAAUAGCAAUGGGAAUAUAAAGGAGAGGAGACAUUUGAGUGAAAUUAAGGAAGCACAAUCUGCAGACUGUUUUCUUUUUUUUAAGAGUCAGGGUCUCCCUAUUUUGCCCAGGCUGGUCUCAAAGUCCUAGGCUCAAGCGACCCACCCACCUCAGCCUUCCAAAAUGCUGGAAUUACAGGGGUGAACUGCCUCACCAUGCCUCAGUCUGCAGAAUUUGAUGACUGAAUGUAUUUGGAGAGAGUCUGUGGCUUGGAUGACUGGGAGCUGUGAUUGGUUGAUUGAUUUUGAGGCGGAGUUUCACUCUUGUUGCCCAGGCUGAAGUGCAGUGGCACAACCUCUGCUCACUGCAACCGCUGCCUUCCAGUUUCAAGCGAUUCUCCUGCCUCAGCCUCCCAAGUAGCUGGGAUUACAGGCGCCUGCCACAACGUCUGGAGACGGAGUUUCUCCAUUUUGGCCAGUUUGGUGUCGA